AUUGAACGCUGGCGGAAUGCUUUACACAUGCAAGUCGAACGGUAGAGGGGGCAACCCCUUGAGAGUGGCGAACGGGUGAGUAAUAUAUCGGAACGUGCCCAGUCGUGGGGAUAACGUAGCGAAAGUUACGCUAAUACCGCAUACGAUCUAAGGAUGAAAGCGGGGGAUCGCAAGACCUCGCGCGAUUGGAGCGGCCGAUAUCAGAUUAGGUAGUUGGUGAGGUAAAGGCUCACCAAGCCAACGAUCUGUAGCUGGUCUGAGAGGACGACCAGCCACACUGGAACUGAGACACGGCCCAGACUCCUACGGGAGGCAGCAGUGGGGAAUUUUGGACAAUGGGCGCAAGCCUGAUCCAGCAAUGCCGCGUGCAGGAUGAAGGCCUCGGUUGUAACUGCUUUGUACGGUAACGAAACGGU
This 416-nucleotide ribosomal RNA is filed under the name uncultured bacterium. RNAcentral's name for it is "bacterial SSU rRNA". It matches the Rfam family "Bacterial small subunit ribosomal RNA", at positions 30 to 454 of the family's 1533-position model. The record is from RNAcentral.